GCUGAUAUGGCUCAGUUGGUAGAGCGCAUCCUUGGUAAGGAUGAGGUCCCCAGUGAUGUGGUCAAGUAAAACUGUACACA
RNAcentral lists this transfer RNA (80 nucleotides) under Shewanella sp. ALD9. RNAcentral's name for it is "tRNA-Thr". Lineage: Bacteria; Pseudomonadati; Pseudomonadota; Gammaproteobacteria; Alteromonadales; Shewanellaceae. The record is from RNAcentral.